RNAcentral lists this ribosomal RNA (500 nucleotides) under uncultured bacterium. RNAcentral describes it as "partial 16S ribosomal RNA". It matches the Rfam family "Bacterial small subunit ribosomal RNA", at positions 30 to 523 of the family's 1533-position model. The record is from RNAcentral.
AUUGAACGCUGGCGGCAUGCCUUACACAUGCAAGUCGAACGGCAGCACGGGAGCAAUCCUGGUGGCGAGUGGCGAACGGGUGAGUAAAGUAUCGGAACGUGCCCAGUCGUGGGGGAUAACGUAGCGAAAGUUACGCUAAUACCGCAUACGAUCUAUGGAUGAAAGCGGGGGAUCGCAAGACCUCGCGCGAUUGGAGCGGCCGAUAUCAGAUUAGGUAGUUGGGGGGGUAAAGGCUCACCAAGCCGACGAUCUGUAGCUGGUCUGAGGGGACGACCAGCCACACUGGGACUGAGACACGGCCCAGACUCCUACGGGAGGCAGCAGUGGGGAAUUUUGGACAAUGGGCGAAAGCCUGAUCCAGCCAUGCCGCGUGCAGGAUGAAGGCCUUCGGGUUGUAAACUGCUUUUGUACGGAACGAAAAGGUUUGGCCUAAUAAGCUGAGCUCAUGACGGUACCGUAAGAAUAAGCACCGGCUAACUACGUGCCAGCAGCCGCCGUAA